AAAAUGGACCAAUCAGCAGGAUGUGGGUGGGGCCAGAUAAGGGAAUAAAACCAGGGCACUUGAGCCAGCAGCAGCAACCUGCUCAGGUGCCCUUCCACCUUGUUCUUCUGCUCUUUGCAAUAAAUUUUACUGCUGCUCAUUCUUUGGGUCCGCACUGCCUUUAUGAGGUAUAACACCGUGAAGGUUGGCAGCCUCACUUCUAAAGCCAGCGAGACCACAAACCCACCAGGAGGGACAAACAACUCUGGACGUGCCACUUUAUGAACUGUAACAGUCAGUGCAAAGGUCUGCAGCUUCACUCCUGAGGCUAGCGAGACCAGGAACCCACCAGAAGGGACAAACAACUCCAGACGCCUCACCUUAAAAGCUGUAACACUUACAGUGAAGCUCUGCAGCUUCACUCAAACCCAGCGAGACCACGAACCCACCAGAAGGAAGAAACUCCGAACACGUCCGAACAUCACAAGGAACAAACUCCAGAUACCAUCUUUAAGAACUGUAACACUCACUGCAAGGUUAAAAGAAGAAAACUGUACUGAAGAAAGUAACCAAUAGUCCAUUAGUAAAUCGGGUGAUAAAAUGUUUGAAGUGAAGAACCAAAGUUGGC
This 607-nucleotide long non-coding RNA is filed under the name Homo sapiens (human). RNAcentral describes it as "non-protein coding lnc-DIAPH3-4:2". Lineage: Eukaryota; Metazoa; Chordata; Mammalia; Primates; Hominidae. The record is from RNAcentral.